This 766-nucleotide ribosomal RNA is filed under the name Flavobacteriaceae bacterium AU476A_Ted3_MB20SE. Its description in RNAcentral is "bacterial SSU rRNA". It matches the Rfam family "Bacterial small subunit ribosomal RNA", at positions 56 to 822 of the family's 1533-position model. Lineage: Bacteria; Pseudomonadati; Bacteroidota; Flavobacteriia; Flavobacteriales; Flavobacteriaceae. The record is from RNAcentral.
UGCAGUCGAGGGGUAACAGGGUUUUCGGACUGCUGACGACCGGCGCACGGGUGCGUAACGCGUAUACAAUCUACCUUUUGCUAAGAGAUAGCCCAGAGAAAUUUGGAUUAAUAUUUUAUGGUAUGUUAGUAUGGCAUCAUACAGACAUUAAAGGUCACGGCAAAAGAUGAGUAUGCGUUCUAUUAGCUAGAUGGUAAGGUAACGGCUUACCAUGGCAACGAUAGAUAGGGGCCCUGAGAGGGGGAUCCCCCACACUGGUACUGAGACACGGACCAGACUCCUACGGGAGGCAGCAGUGAGGAAUAUUGGACAAUGGAGGGAACUCUGAUCCAGCCAUGCCGCGUGCAGGAAGACUGCCCUAUGGGUUGUAAACUGCUUUUAUACAAGAAGAAUAAGAGAUACGUGUAUCUUGAUGACGGUAUUGUAUGAAUAAGCACCGGCUAACUCCGUGCCAGCAGCCGCGGUAAUACGGAGGGUGCAAGCGUUAUCCGGAAUCAUUGGGUUUAAAGGGUCCGUAGGCGGAUUAAUAAGUCAGUGGUGAAAGUCUGCAGCUUAACUGUAGAAUUGCCAUUGAUACUGUUAGUCUUGAAUUAUUAUGAAGUAGUUAGAAUAUGUAGUGUAGCGGUGAAAUGCAUAGAUAUUACAUAGAAUACCGAUUGCGAAGGCAGGCUACUAAUAAUAUAUUGACGCUGAUGGACGAAAGCGUGGGUAGCGAACAGGAUUAGAUACCCUGGUAGUCCACGCCGUAAACGAUGGUCACUAGCUG